Molecule: long non-coding RNA, 1066 nt
Organism: Piliocolobus tephrosceles (Ugandan red Colobus)
Lineage: Eukaryota; Metazoa; Chordata; Mammalia; Primates; Cercopithecidae
Exons: 2
Source: RefSeq, a predicted model, not a curated record
AGGAGCAUGGACUAUUCUCUCAUGUUGAAUGUGGCAGUUUUCACAUACAAGCAGGAGAGAAAUUACACCAAGAUUUUGGAAAACAUGUUAUGUAAGGUUAUUGUGACCUCUAUGAUGGGGAUCUGAUAAAGAAGAAAAAUACCUCACAGCGAUGACUGGCAUGUGAUCACUUAGCCAAUGAGAUAAGAGGCUGUAGAAAUGAUGUGAUAAUGACGUCUCCUGAGUUCCAGGUCCAUAUUAGCAGUGGAUAUGAGGUAAACAUUGAGCUUUUCUCAAAUUUAAUUAACAAGCUUUAUUAUAGAUACAACUCAAAUUAGUUAAUUCAGGAAGCUUAUUUUGUAGAAAUUAAAACAUUAAUAAACAGAAAAUUUAGAAAUAAAGAACUCGGCUGACACUUUGACUCUUUGAAACAAGUGGCCUUCCAUGCUCUGAAAGAUUAUGGCCACCCUUUGAGACACUGGAAUGGUGUCCAUUGCAUUUUAUCAAGUAACUAUAGGUCAGCCUGGGAAAUCUGCAGUUCCUCCACUCCUGUCACUGUGGUUGCUGUGAGAUUUUGUGUCAUCACUGUGCUGUCUUCCCUCUCCACAUGAAGGUGAACUCUCUGACUUCACCCUAAUGUCUGUGGUUUCAUACCUGACCUGAUUGUUACUGAGCAAUUCCCUUGUUUGGAGAAUUCUGUGCUUUGGUUAGAAUUUUUAAAGGUUUUUUUCCUGUGGUCAGAUUUCUGUUUCCUCCUGUGUCUUAUGCACCAUGUUCUCCUACAGAGAAGAUUCUUUGAAGUUAGUGGAACCUCAGUUUAAAGGAAGAUCUACUGCGUUGUGUGGUGGAUGACCAUGGGGGAGCAAGAAGGCAGCCUCUGGCUUUUGUUUUGUGUGUACGUGUGUGUGUGUGUGUGUGUGUGUGAUGUACCUGGAAAAAUAACACAAUUAGCAUUAAAGAGUAUGUUUGGCAUGUUUAAAAUAAAUUGUAAACCAAAUGUAUUUUAAAGAAUUUAUACAAAUUUCUAAUUUAGUAAAACGAAUGACUAUUGAGUAUUUAUAUCAAUAAAACAACCACUCGAAUACAA